CACCAUCAUCAUCAUCAUAACAGCACUUCCUCGUCUUGUUUACAUCAUAUUGGUUUCAGUCACUGUUAGAGGAAGGCUGUUCUCAAGAAAGUCAAUUUGUGCCUUGAAUAUUUUAUUCCUUCUCACGAGGGCGCUUCGUUUGGUCCCUGGUUUACUAUCUAGAUCUAUAAGGUGGGUCAGCAGCAAAAAUGGAGUUUCCCCAUCUUGGUCAACACUGCAACGAAUCGACUUGCAAGCAACUUGAUUUCUUGCCAAUGAAGUGUGAUGCCUGUUCCAAGAUCUUCUGUCGAGAUCACAUUAUGUACACUUCCCACAAAUGUCCUGAUUCUUACAAGAAGGAUAACCAGAUCCCCGUGUGCCCUCUGUGUAACUUGCCUAUCCCUCUGAGGAAAGGAGAGCUCCCAGAUGUGGUGGUGGGGAGACACAUUGAGUCUGAUUGUCAGUCGGAUCCGGCAAAGGAGAGGAGAAAGGUGUACACAAACAGAUGCUCCAAGAAAGGAUGCAAGCAGAAAGAGCUGGUCCCCGUGAAGUGCGAGACGUGUCGACUCAACUUCUGCCUCCGACACCGACACGAGCUGGACCACAACUGUAAGGGAUACCAGAACUCUGGCCGGGCUGUCAGUAAUGCUGGUGCUGCAGCAUUGCUCCGGGCUCAGCAGGCGACGUCUUCCAAGAAAUCCCAAAAUUUAUCAUCAUCAUCAUCAUCAUCAUCAGGGCACCCAAGCAAUCGAAAUUCCAACAGCUCUGUUCCAAGGGCAAACAACCCUGCAGCUCUUUCAUCCUUACAAGGAACACUAACAGAAGAUGAAGCCCUGGCCCGUGCCUUACAACAGUCCUUGGGAGGCAGCUCUGAUGCUUUGCCCGAAGGGAUGAGCCAGCAAGAACGUGAGGAUUUCCUCCUAGCCCAGGCUCUGUCGGCCAGUGAGCAGGAAGCGGCGCGGUCACGCCAGAGGCCGGCACAAACUGUGAGGGCCUAGAAUGUUCUAGCAUGUCGUGUUGAGUGAGAGAGAAGAUGGAGGAGGAAAAUGUUUGUUUGCUGGAAACCGACAAGAUCAGCGGUCUGCGUGUACUGUACAAUAGAUUAUAUAUAUAGAUAGAUAGAUAAAUUGAUAAGACACGAUACACAUGAUAUAUUAUAUAUAUAUAUAUAUAAAAGUCUCUGCCAGUCAACCGUUGCCUUGUGGAUGCCAUCAGGGGUUGUGUGUUGUACCGUUCCUCCAAGGGUUGACCGACAUCCCUGUGAGUGUGUAGAGUAAAACGUUGAACUCAGGUUGGAGCUGCCACAAAUCAUGUGACCUGAAUACAUUGUCACCGCAGAUUUCUUCUGUGGGCUUUGUCAUAUUGAUCAUAUUAAUAUGAUUUGUUGGUGGUUACAAGUUAUAAUAAAAUAACAAAUACUAAGGAUUGAAUUUAUGUAAUGCAUAUCCAGGCUCGACUGCAUGCUUUUUGUGCUUUACAACCAAAGGUUCAUGAAGUCACCUCACCCAAGAACGUUUUAGUGUGAGCCUGCUCUCAGAAGUUGUUCUACUGAAUGGCAUAUUUGUCUCUGGCCUUUUGUCUUUCACUUUUGACGAGCCCUGUGGUUUUUAUCUGAAUGUCUGGGAAGACAUAAAUCACGGCAGUGCAGUAGUGGAUUUAGAAAAAAAAGCACGAAAGACGGAAAUUUUGGAGGAGAAGAAACA
This is an RNA transcript of Aplysia californica (California sea hare), 1682 nucleotides long. It is a transcript of the gene named AN1-type zinc finger protein 2A, with no coding region annotated. The record is from RefSeq and is a predicted model, not a curated record. NCBI's taxonomy places the organism in Eukaryota, Metazoa, Mollusca, Gastropoda, Aplysiida, Aplysiidae. The transcript is spliced from 11 exons.